This 24-nucleotide non-coding RNA is filed under the name Arabidopsis thaliana (thale cress). Lineage: Eukaryota; Viridiplantae; Streptophyta; Magnoliopsida; Brassicales; Brassicaceae. The record is from RNAcentral.
GUGGCAAGAAGGUUGGAAUUUAUU